Molecule: ribosomal RNA, 717 nt
Filed under: Burkholderia sp. Ms198
Lineage: Bacteria; Pseudomonadati; Pseudomonadota; Betaproteobacteria; Burkholderiales; Burkholderiaceae
Description: bacterial SSU rRNA
Rfam family: Bacterial small subunit ribosomal RNA
Source: RNAcentral
CAUGCAAGUCGAACGGCAGCGCUGGAGCAUCCUGGCGGCGAGUGGCGAACGGGUGAGUAAUACAUCGGAACGUGUCCUGUAGUGGGGGAUAGCCCGGCGAAAGCCGGAUUAAUACCGCAUACGAUCUACGGAUGAAAGCGGGGGAUCGCAAGACCUCGCGCUAUAGGGGCGGCCGAUGGCGGAUUAGCUAGUUGGUGGGGUAAAGGCCCACCAAGGCGACGAUCCGUAGCUGGUCUGAGAGGACGACCAGCCACACUGGGACUGAGACACGGCCCAGACUCCUACGGGAGGCAGCAGUGGGGAAUUUUGGACAAUGGGCGCAAGCCUGAUCCAGCAAUGCCGCGUGUGUGAAGAAGGCCUUCGGGUUGUAAAGCACUUUUGUCCGGAAAGAAAUCCUCUGGGUUAAUACCCCGGGGGGAUGACGGUACCGGAAGAAUAAGCACCGGCUAACUACGUGCCAGCAGCCGCGGUAAUACGUAGGGUGCGAGCGUUAAUCGGAAUUACUGGGCGUAAAGCGUGCGCAGGCGGUGAUGUAAGACCGAUGUGAAAUCCCCGGGCUUAACCUGGGAACUGCAUUGGUGACUGCAUCGCUGGAGUAUGGCAGAGGGGGGUAGAAUCCACGUGUAGCAGUGAAAUGCGUAGAGAUGUGGAGGAAUACCGAUGGCGAAGGCAGCCCCCUGGGCCCAUACUGACGCUCAUGCACGAAAGCGUGGGGAG